UCGGAAUUAUAGUUUUCUCUGCUGCUUUUUUUGAGGCAGAAUUGAUGCUUAUUAUCGGAUUCUACGUGUAGAGUUUGGCGGGAGCUUGACUUCUGGCCUUUGGAGGUUUUCGGUUGAUCCAGCAGGGUAUUCCCUUGUGUCGGGACUUCCUCGCUGCAGGGGAUUAGCGACUAAGGUGGGUUAAUCAUCGGCUUAUACUCCUAAGUGCUUAGUAGUCAACAUGUGCAAAUUUCAGAUUUUGUGUAGUUUAUUUUAACUCAAAUUCAUGAAUUAUUAUGUGAAUUGCAAAUCUGAAUUUGGAGCAUGUGAUAAUAAAUUAAGUAAUUUAUACAUGUUGGACUUGAAAAUUAAAUUAGGAGAAAACCGGCGAGUUGGACUUGUCAUCAGUUACACUACCUGAUUUAGCCCUAGGGGUCGUUGUAUUAUUUUAUACUGGAGCAGUAUCCUCAUAGUGAGUAGUCCAGAUAGUUUAGCUUUCAGUUACGCUCGUGCUGGGAUGCCGAGUAUAUUUUUAUAGUAGCGUUCAGGCUGUUCCGGACUGUUGGGUGCCGUCGAGGUUGACGGUGGACCCGUAUCGCCUUUUUAGGGACGGUUUGUGCCGAGGGCACGUGACCUGUUGGUGGUUAGACCAGUUAGAGUCGGUUACUUGGAUUUUGGCUUGAGGUAGAGCCUGAUUGAGCUCGACAGAGAUACGCUGCAUACUCGGUUGGGUAGCUCCCACGAGUGCCACUCCGGAGACGGGCGUUGUGCUUUCGCGUUGGUGUCGCUCAUGCCAGUUGGACUUGCUCUCCACGGACUAGAUGGUGUGGAGGUAGCUGGAUAGUCGCAACUAGGCAGGGACGGGUAUGUUGGUGUGGAGGUAGCUGGAUAGUCGCAACGGGGCAGGGACGGGUGUGUUCACAGUCCCAGGGACGGGUAUGCUUACAGUCCCAAUUAGAUUGGGUCAGAUUUGACAUUUCCUACAGUUGGUUAGUGUAGAGCAUGAUAGUGUAGUGAUUCAUAGCGUAGAUUUAUUCCUGCAUUAUUUCUACUUUUGCUCCCUUCUGUAGACUUAGUGGGUGGACCGAUGAUGUUGAGGGCGGCACCCACUGAGGACUACUUAUUUUAUAGUAGUUCUCACGCCCUGUUAUUACCCCAUUGGUUUGCAGAGCCUUCGACUUCGGCUGCUGCUGUCGCGGAUCAGGAUCGAUGCAAGGGCGUCACGAGUUAGAGCCCUACCCGACUAGCCGAGCUAGAGGUGCCCUACAGCAGGUAGUUGUUUUGUUGGAGUUCAUGUACAUACAUAUAUUUAACUCGCCAGUGCGAGUAGUUUUAUAUCUUGGAUUUGGCGUAUGUAUAUGGAACUCGGUUUGUUUUAUUUCUGGUUCUUCUAGCAGCUCUAUACUACUGUAGUAGUAUUGUAUGAUUUACAGGUACAGCUAUCGCUUCGUAUACAGGAAAAAUUCCUUUGUAUACGGCGGAUUUGU
This 1466-nucleotide long non-coding RNA is filed under the name Ananas comosus (pineapple). RNAcentral's name for it is "long non-coding RNA (ACOM_LNC040168)". Lineage: Eukaryota; Viridiplantae; Streptophyta; Magnoliopsida; Poales; Bromeliaceae. The record is from RNAcentral.